Molecule: long non-coding RNA, 724 nt
Organism: Oncorhynchus tshawytscha (Chinook salmon)
Lineage: Eukaryota; Metazoa; Chordata; Actinopteri; Salmoniformes; Salmonidae
Source: Ensembl
UGGAGAUGGUAGACUAGACUGGAGAUGGUUGACUAGACUGGAGAUGGCAGACUAGACUGGAGAUGGCAGACUAGACUGGAGAUGGCAGACUAGACUGGAGAUGGUUGAUGAUGAUAAAUCGGACCUUUUCUGAAAUACAUCUCGUUGUGUCUCGAUACACCUGUAUCAGUGGUGUUUUGGUGUCCGCGUGGACAAGACAGCAUGCCUGAUGUGGUUCUCCCCGGGGUAUCACGUACACAUGUCAUCCGUCCAUCUAUCACGGUGUACUGCUUUAGUUACCACGCCAUAUGCGCUGUCUCCAGGACAACCGAAUAAGAGGAAGAAAAGGUGUGCAGGCGGCGAGGGUUGUCAUGGAUACGCCAGGCAGUCAUAGUGGUGAUCAGAUGCACAGCCACCCUCCCCUUGGUAACGGAACAACAAUAGGAACCAAUCUGCAAGGUGUUUGUUUCCCUUUGAUUCCUACUGUGUGUUGCACGGUGCGGAGAGAGCUAGGCCUCUGAGUUAAGUAGCUCUACACAAACUGUGUGUAAUAGUGGAGCAAGGGAUGUGUGUGUGUGUGUGUGUGUGUGUGUGUGUGUGUGUGUGUGCGUGUGUGUGCACACAUGCACACACACGCACACGCACGCGCACGCACACACAGACACACACACACAGACACACACACACACACACACACACACACACACAGACACAGACACACACACACAGACACACACACAGACAC